RNAcentral lists this unclassified non-coding RNA (342 nucleotides) under soil metagenome. Its description in RNAcentral is "partial contains 5.8S ribosomal RNA, internal transcribed spacer 2, and large subunit ribosomal RNA". The stretch from base 1 to 120 matches the Rfam family "5.8S ribosomal RNA", at positions 35 to 154 of the family's 154-position model. The record is from RNAcentral.
GAUGAAGAACGCAGCGAAAUGCGAUAAGUAAUGUGAAUUGCAGAAUUCAGUGAAUCAUCGAGUCUUUGAACGCACAUUGCGCCCCCUGGUAUUCCGGGGGGCAUGCCUGUCCGAGCGUCAUUGCUGCCCUCAAGCACGGCUUGUGUGUUGGGCCCCGUCCCCUCCCCCGGGGACGGGCCCGAAAGGCAGCGGCGGCACCGCGUCCGAUCCUCGAGCGUAUGGGGCUUUGUCACCCGCUCUGUAGGCCCGGCCGGCGCCAGCCGACACCCAACUUUUAUUUCUAAGGUUGACCUCGGAUCAGGUAGGGAUACCCGCUGAACUUAAGCAUAUCAAUGCGGAGGA